CCUCCUUUUUCCCUCUUUCCUCUGCAUUACUGGGCGUAAAGGGUGCGUAGGCGGUUCGUUAAGUCUGUCGUGAAAUCCCCGGGCUCAACCUGGGAAUGGCGAUGGAUACUGGCGAGCUAGAGUGUGUCAGAGGAUGGUGGAAUUCCCGGUGUAGCGGUGAAAUGCGUAGAGAUCGGGAGGAACAUCAGUGGCGAAGGCGGCCAUCUGGGACAACACUGACGCUGAAGCACGAAAGCGUGGGGAGCAAACAGGA
RNAcentral lists this ribosomal RNA (253 nucleotides) under uncultured prokaryote. RNAcentral describes it as "partial 16S ribosomal RNA". It matches the Rfam family "Bacterial small subunit ribosomal RNA", at positions 548 to 777 of the family's 1533-position model. The record is from RNAcentral.